Molecule: ribosomal RNA, 468 nt
Filed under: uncultured bacterium
Lineage: Bacteria
Description: partial 16S ribosomal RNA
Rfam family: Bacterial small subunit ribosomal RNA
Source: RNAcentral
GACGAACGCUGGCGGCGUGCUUAACACAUGCAAGUCGAACGGAAAGGCCCUGCUUCUGUGGGGUGCUCGAGUGGCGAACGGAUGAGUAACACGUGAGUAACCUGCCCUUGACUUUGGGAUAACUUCAGGAAACUGGGGCUAAUAACGGAUAGGAGCUCCUGCUGCACGGUGGGGGGUGGAAAGUUUCGGCGGUUGGGGAUGGGCGCGCGGCUUAUCAGCUUGUUGGUGGGGUAGUGGCUCACCAAGGGUUUGACGGGUAGCCGGCCUGAGAGGGUGACCGGCCACAUUGGGACUGAGAUACGGCCCAGACUCCUACGGGGGGCAGCAGUGGGGAAUAUUGCACAGUGGGCGGAAGCCUGAGGCAGCAACGCCGCGUGCGGGAUGACGGCCUUCGGGUUGUAAACCGCUUUCACCUGUGACGAAGCGUGAGUGACGGUAAUGGGUAAAGAAGCACCGGCUAACUACGUG